RNAcentral lists this transfer RNA (73 nucleotides) under Camelus bactrianus (Bactrian camel). It matches the Rfam family "tRNA". Rfam says of the family: Transfer RNA (tRNA) molecules are approximately 80 nucleotides in length. RNAcentral also lists the same sequence under 2 other names. The record is from Rfam by way of RNAcentral. Lineage: Eukaryota; Metazoa; Chordata; Mammalia; Artiodactyla; Camelidae.
GUGGGUACAGCUCAGUGGUAGAGCUGCAUGCUUAGCAUGCACAAGGUCCUGGGUUCAAUCCCCAGUAGCUACA